This 1346-nucleotide ribosomal RNA is filed under the name uncultured bacterium. Its description in RNAcentral is "partial 16S ribosomal RNA". It matches the Rfam family "Bacterial small subunit ribosomal RNA", at positions 28 to 1381 of the family's 1533-position model. The record is from RNAcentral.
GACGAACGCUGGCGGCGUGCUUAACACAUGCAAGUCGAACGGAAAGGCCCUGCUUUUGUGGGGUGCUCGAGUGGCGAACGGGUGAGUAACACGUGAGUAACCUGCCCUUGACUUUGGGAUAACUUCAGGAAACUGGGGCUAAUACCGGAUAGGAGCUCCUGCUGCAUGGUGGGGGUUGGAAAGUUUCGGCGGUUGGGGAUGGACUCGCGGCUUAUCAGCUUGUUGGUGGGGUAGUGGCUUACCAAGGCUUUGACGGGUAGCCGGCCUGAGAGGGUGACCGGCCACAUUGGGACUGAGAUACGGCCCAGACUCCUACGGGAGGCAGCAGUGGGGAAUAUUGCACAAUGGGCGGAAGCCCGAUGCAGCAACGCCGCGUGCGGGAUGACGGCCUUCGGGUUGUAAACCGCUUUCGCCUGUGACGAAGCGUGAGUGACGGUAAUGGGUAAAGAAGCACCGGCUAACCACGUGCCAGCAGCCGCGGUGAUACGUAGGGUGCGAGCGUUGUCCGGAUUUAUUGGGCGUAAAGGGCUCGUAGGUGGUUGAUCGCGUCGGAAGUGUAAUCUUGGGGCUUAACCCUGAGCGUGCUUUCGAUACGGGUUGACUUGAGGAAGGUAGGGGAGAAUGGAAUUCCUGGUGGAGCGGUGGAAUGCGCAGAUAUCAGGAGGAACACCAGUGGCGAAGGCGGUUCUCUGGGCCUUUCCUGACGCUGAGGAGCGAAAGCGUGGGGAGCGAACAGGCUUAGAUACCCUGGUAGUCCACGCUGUAAACGGUGGGUACUAGGUGUGGGGUCCAUUCCACGGGUUCCGUGCCGUAGCUAACGCUUUAAGUACCCCGCCUGGGGAGUACGGCCGCAAGGCUAAAACUCAAAGGAAUUGACGGGGCCCCGCACAAGCGGCGGAGCAUGCGGAUUAAUUCGAUGCAACGCGUAGAACCUUACCUGGGUUUGACAUGGAUCGGGAGUGCUCAGAGAUGGGUGUGCCUCUUUUGGGGUCGGUUCACAGGUGGUGCAUGGCUGUCGUCAGCUCGUGUCGUGAGAUGUUGGGUUAAGUCCCGCAACGAGCGCAACCCUUGUUCACUGUUGCCAGCACGUUAUGGUGGGGACUCAGUGGAGACCGCCGGGGUCAACUCGGAGGAAGGUGGGGAUGACGUCAAGUCAUCAUGCCCCUUAUGUCCAGGGCUUCACGCAUGCUACAAUGGCUGGUACAGAGAGUGGCGAGCCUGUGAGGGUGAGCGAAUCUCGGAAAGCCGGUCUCAGUUCGGAUUGGGGUCUGCAACUCGACCUCAUGAAGUCGGAGUCGCUAGUAAUCGCAGAUCAGCAACGCUGCGGUGAAUACGUUCCCGGGGCU